Molecule: long non-coding RNA, 1545 nt
Filed under: Capsicum annuum
Lineage: Eukaryota; Viridiplantae; Streptophyta; Magnoliopsida; Solanales; Solanaceae
Description: long non-coding RNA (CANN_LNC011956)
Source: RNAcentral
UUGAUUUCAAGGAGAACUUCCAACCUGUGCGCCGUCUUCAACAACAACAUCUGAGGUGAGAAAUCCGUUGCCUUAAAUUCAUUAUUGUUAUGAGAAAAUCUCUUAACGUCAUCUGAUGCAUUAGUGCAUAUAGUUAAGGACAUUGGAAGCUAGGCGAAAAUGCACUAUUGCAUAUAAUUAGUGAAAACAAUUUCCUGGGCGAAUGAAUUUAGGAAGUAGCAUAUUGCUUAUCAUUAUUCUUGUAAUGAUAACCUGGGGACUAGAAAUAAGAAAGCAAUAAGUUAAUGGUUGAAGUGAUUUCCUACCUAAUUAGAGUACUACAGUUUCGCACAGUUAUCAACAAGUACGACUAAAUUUGGUUAGAAUUCGUAGAUUAGGAAUUCGUAAUUUGAGAGUUGUAUAAUGAUCUAUUUUAGUUGAAAUUUGACAUACUAGUUUAUACUCAUAUGGGGAUUAUAUAUUUGGACAGAUUGUACUCAUUUGGAAGCUUUACAGAAGGGUAAGACCCUUACAAAUUAGCUUGCAUUUGGAUUCUUUGAUUGAAGUAGGUUACGGUUUAAUUGGAGUUUAGACUCAACUUAAUUGUGUAUAUACUCCUAAGUUGGAUACUUGUGGAUUGGUAUUCGGACAUGCUUGAAAUUAUUGAUGUUUGGAUUGUUGAUUCGUGUAUAAAUGUUUAUUGAAAAUUUACUUGAUGGAAUUGUCUUAUUAAUUUAAGUGAACUUGAAAACUUGGUACAUUGUGUCGUAUGCUGUGAGUUUGUAUAAAUUGAUAUUGAUAAUACUUGUUAAUAUUUAUGUUGGAUCGGGUACCACGCCGGUACGUUUAUAUUUUUGUUGGAUCGGGUACCACGCCGGUACGUUUAUAUUUUUGUUGGAUCGGGUACCACGCCGGUACGGUACAUGAACAUAAAUUGUUCCCUGCAGGUCAUGACUAUUUGGGCAAAAAUAAGUCUCAUAGCAUGUGUGUACAUAUUUAUGUUUAUUUUGUGGAUGUUUAUAGUACGGUUGAUAUUCUUGAUGGUUAUGUGGCUUGUCUGUGAGCACUGUUUGACCUGUUGUUGCUAUAUUGUUGAUUCAUUGAAUAUUUGUUGUGUGGCGAUGUCUGUCUACUUGUUAUUUGAUUUAUGUUGUGUACAUUCUAUUAAAUUGAGUUGACUUAUGAUACCUACCAGUACAUAGUGAUUUGUACUGAUACUACUCUGUACUCUUCUUUUGUUGAGUGCAGAAAGUGUUUUAGGCUCAGACAUGACCUAACCUCUAGAGUUUGAUAGCAGAUCUUGAUCCAAGGGUGAGCACUCCGUCUCCAGGCUGCCAUGGGUCAUCUUAUUUGUUCUUGUCCAUCUUUCGGGCAAUGAAACAUUCUUUAUUUACUUUAUUUUUGGAUAUCACUUUAGAUAUUAUCUUUGUUAGUAGUUCUUGUACGAUGAGUUUCGGAUCUUGAAAAUUUUAGUAAGUAGUUUGUUUGAAUUUCCGCAUGAAUAAUAAUUAGUCCUAGAUAUUUGUUAUUAUGUUGAAUUUUAUAAUAAUAUCAUCUAAUAUUGAC